ACCUUGUCUCCGAUUAACUGGUAGUACUGGUUGUAUGCCUACUUUUACCGCUGAAUGCGCAUCGCGCAUCGGUGAUAUCGCGACAUCGAGCAGAACGGAGAUCGAUAAGAUAUAAGUAUCGAUCGAGGGGAGACAGAGUUCGCUGAAUGAAGUGGAAUAUUAAAUGUCCGCUCGUGUAUUAGCUAACGGUAAAAAACGCGUGAUUCACUUCAUUGCGCACAAUAUGUCGCGCGAAAUCGCCGUGUGGGCGAUUGAUAAUAGCCACGUCCACGAGAUAAUAGGGACGCGAUAGCAACGACAGAAAUAGUUGUAAUACAAAGAUUGCAACAAGUGAAAUAACAUGUCGCGAGUUCUCUUUAUCUCCACCUCUUCUUUCCUCUUUAUACCUAGUGAUAAAUCAAUUCUGAAUAAAAAUAUUAAAAAAAAACAACGCGUAGAUAACGCGUAGAACGAUGGGCGAUAAUGUCGAUCAGAAAUAACGUGAAUAUAUAUCGUAGAUUUGUCAUAUCACCGGCAGAAAAUGAAGAAGCAACAGCUGUAUUUUCGAAUAUUGAGACCUGCAAAGCCGAAGCGUACACAGAGAAAAAAAUAUUAAUUGAAUUAAGGGGCUAGUCCAGUGGUUUUUCUUCAAAAAAUCGAUUUUUCAGAAACAUCAGUUUCGUAUAGAAUAUACACGUAGAAAUAUGAUAGAAGUGACCUGAAAUGUUUUGACGCCGAAAACCGGUCGAAAUUCGAGCGAACAAUAGAAGAGGUCGAGCGCGCCGCUGUACACCUGCCGCGUCAUCGGCCCUGUUUUCAGGCUCUAUCCUGUCUAGACCGGCAUGCAUUGUUCCCUUGAAUUUCGGUUUCGGUUAGAGAGCAAUACAGUGUCUGCAGUCGUGAAGAACAGACGUAUUUGAGAGCAGUGGAAAAUUUUGUAAAAUGGAUAAAAAGCAUAGCAAAGAAACGACGAGUGAUCGCCGUCCAAAAAAGCGAAAAUUUUGUGGAAACCGAUAUACAUCAGAAAAAGAUACAAGUUCAACAAGCACGUCAGCAGAAAAUUAUGGAAGUUAUGGGCGUUACAAUUGGCAAAGGAGCAGCAGAAUUCGUACAGCGGUGUGAUCAGGCACGUAUUGAAUUGGCCAACCAACGCAGCUCUACCCAAUCAAAAGAAAGCCGAACAGCCCGCAGAAAUGUAAGAUUGGAAGAAAAUGAUGCUUACGAACAGGCAGAGGGAAUAAUGUAUGGUCCUGGCAUCGCUGAUUAAAGAUGAUUCAGACCCGAGAAAUCUUGACUACCGUUUCAAAAUGGGACCAACUUCAUGUGGCUACAGCGCAGAAAAUAUGAUAUAUAUAUAUAUAUAUAAUUUUUUUAUGAGUUAUAUAUGUUCGCUUUUAAAUGUAAAAAGAUUGGUACGCAUUUACAAACUUCAAUAUUAAAUAAAAAUUCUUUUCUAACCCAUACGAAACCACUGGACUAGCCCCUUAACUCACGACAAUGAAGAAACUAAAUGCAUUCUAAUCGGAUCGGCCAAAUUUGAUUCGCAAGAACCUAAAAUUCCGUUGUCUUCGACAAAAAUGCGUCUCGUUCAUUCACUAUCACAUUAAUUCGACCAAACCUUGUUCUCCGUCUACAAUUUGUAGUUUCAAGCACACGUCAUCGCUCUCAACGUAUCACAUCCGGCGAUUACACGCGUCGACCGAUCUACGCGGCCAUUUUUUCCGUGUAAUUUCGUUACUCCGGAAAGGAACACGAAACGAGGAAAAAAUUUGAUAAACGUUUGUCUCGAAAUAUAAAAUUAAACGUCAACGUUUAACAAAUAUCGCGACAUAAUUGCGGCUAUGUGUGUGUCACGCCUGUUGUAUGUGUCACGAUAAUUGUGGAAAAUGACACAUCAGGAAAUCCCCGACGGCAUUAUAGACUCGAUAAUUAUCGGAAAGGCUGACGGAGGAAGGAAAAUUGCAGCCAAUGCUUAAUGAUCUUGAUAUAUCUUAACACUUAAGGUGAUGCGAGGAAUUCGAAUGUCAUGCGAAACAUGCAACAAGUGCAGGAAAAUCGCGCGAGUGCCUGAUUUCAGUCGAGAACCGCACGGCUGGAUUUCGCGGAGCAAAUGAUGCGAGAAAAACCGUAAUCGCGCGAUCGCGUUCGAUCGUUCUCAAAAUCCCGUUUCCAAUCAUUAUCAUUCAAUCGAUAAGAAGUUUAUCCUUGCUUACUGAUAUAUCAAAAAUAGUUCGCGAUUCCACGGAUGUGACGGGUCGCCUCGCGCAUUUAAUUUUACCGUAUCGCGAUUGAAAAGAAUUGUUUUUAAUUAUUCGGAGAGUGGCAUCUGAUCUGCGAAUUAAGCUAAACUCUGAUCCUGAAAUCUCGAAGUCGCCGGUGAAUUUUUUUUUCUCGGAAUAGUGUAAUCUUAAUCGUUCUCACGACAAACAAUCACCGAGAUAACAUUUCGUUAUAAUUGAUUUACUAAUCGAAACGAUCAACACGUCGCGAUAACAAUUGAACGAGCUGUAACACCACAAAUAUUGUACAAUUAUCUUUUUCCUUGAAUAUUAGAAUUUUAAUUCCCGUACAAAUUGUUUAAGAUCUCAACGAGCAUUUCCUCCAAUGCUAUUUGCUCUACUUCCAUAGACGUUUAUUCAUUUAGUUCGAAUCACCAACGUAUCGUACUAUGACAAUCGUCUUAAUUGGCAUAUUACUCGUGCGUUAUUAUUUAAUUUCUGCUUCGCAUUCCUUCGCUCAACGAAAUAUCUUUCGUUCGUGCAAAAUUCGCAGAACAAAAUGGUGCCUGUUGCAUCGAGCACUGCUAAUAGCAGCACACCUAAUACGUAAUCAUUGCACAAAGUUGCGUAACCAGUCUGCAGAAAAUAAAGAUAAGUGAUAACGGAAGUGACGGCUUCUCCAAGUCGCGGCUUUUGACAGAUAAAUGUACCAUCGUAAUCACACAUGCGACAGGAAAAGGAUAUAACAAGAAUUCCGAGAAACGGUGAAACGCCGAGCCGCGGCGAAUAGUCGGCUGUCUUUUCUUUUUAUGAAUAUUAUUCGUGUCAAGAACGAUGACUCGUACAAGUGAACAUGGAAUUUUUAUCGUUGAAUACGUCCAGAUAAGGAGCAAAAAAAUCGCAGUUGGAAGUAAGCAAAAUUGUCUCCCGAAAAAUAUAUAAAAACAUAUCUUUCUAACGCUUCAGUAGAAUUUCGUAUGAGUGACUCGACCAAAAGUAAGAUCUCCUCUCUCGGUUAGUUAAUUUAAUUAAAAAUUAUUUCGACGUGCGACGAUCGAGUUACGUUAAUAAUCGUUUCUAAUGACGGCAACAUGUGAUGGCAACAUAAUCACGCGCGAGUCACUCUUUCCGAGUGCAUUUGGCACCAUUUCACGACGCGGAAACUAUCUCUUUCACUUGACAUGUAAUUUCUCCUUUAUGCAAUCGAAAAGAAUGUGCAUCGUUCAUACAUAUGAAACAAGGCAAUAAAUAUUCAUUCAGUCGUUUCAUUGAUGCUAACGACGACAAACGAAUACUGACGCUUAUAUCAUUCACAAAUCAAUCGCGAUCUCACUAUCGGUUAUUUUUCGGACGUUAAGCGGCGAGUUCAGAAGAUAAUAAGUCGUUCGUGAAAAGUAUUCCACGACGAUGAUUGUAUCCGACGCAGAUGACGUCACGAUCACUCAUCAUCCCAUCCGCGAAUGACUAUAAUUAAAGCGAACGCGUCACGAUAAUGUGGCCUAAAGGGAACAAAUAGCACGCUCUCGAAAAUUAAUUCGCGGCGAAGCGUCAGCGACGCGUGCAAGAAUGCACGAUGGACGUCGAGAAAUUGCAUUCAAGGAUAUUUGCAAGAACGGCGACAGUCCUUUUUCGCGAUGUAACGCGGUCUGACCUUUUCACGAGCGACGUGAAGAUACCGUAAGGAAGAUCGCACUGCCAUACGAAUGAGCGAGCGUGGACGUUUGAAAAACGAGAAAACAAGUGCGCGAUGUUUAUCUCCGCGGAAAAUUGGCACUGAAAUUCUGAUCUCUCGGAUACCGAAGAGGAAAUAUUUUCAGAGAUAUAUCUCUGAUAAAAGAGAGAACCCACACUGAAUUUACAAUGAAAAAUUUCGAAAUCACGCUGGAAUUUCAACGCAACGAAUCUCGAAUGCUGCGAGUUGAGUUCGGCGAAACCCUCCAUCUUGUUAUCGCAACGGAGUGUACCGCGAAUGACCUUAACGAUAAAUUAUCCUAUGUUCGUCCGCCGUUAAUCCGUGGAAAAUUUCGCGCGGUCCGUCUGCGUCACGUCAAUAGGAAUAUCUCGCGAGACGGGGAAAAUGUGUUUUUCUCCGGUGUGUAUCUUCCCCGUCGGAGUUCAGCGCGACAUUGAAACGCUGCACGCCGCGUGAGCAACGAGAUCGCCCGCUGCGCAUCUACUAAUUUUAGCCACCCCGUAUAGGUGUCCGGUUUACAUCUGAAACGGCGAACGCCCGUCCAUCUAGCAACCGAUAAAUGAUGGAUAUGUAAAUAAUACGAGCUACGUGGAUGCUGAGCCGCGUACUCGAGCUUCGGCCGGUGAAAAUCCCGAAGAUUAGCUCGUCUAACACGACGCUUGAGAGAUUAUAACUCUUGCUGAUUCGACUACCUCGCUCAUCUCCACCUUGACUUACGCGUCGGAUGGAGCGCACAAUUUAUAAUGACGACAGUGAUAAAAUUAUAAUUAGGCAACGAAGUUAGGCGCAGCUGUGAGUUCAUCGCAACCACGUGUACCGAAUAUAAUGCGUCGCGUUGGAUGUUGAAGAUUUUACGAUAAUGCGGUUAGCAUUGUCCUAACGUCGCACGUAAUGUCGUGUGCUCGGGGACGCAAGGACAUCUCAGAUUUUCUAAACCGUAAAGCGAGAGGAGGAAAAAGGAAAACGAUAGGAAAGCGAGCGAAAAGCAGGUUUCGAUGGUAGCACGGUCAUAUUUAUCUUAUUCUUCGAGAGGAACGUCAUUCUUUUCCUCUGCUUCUUCUCCCUCCUCCUUCUCAAGGACGUAACUUUUACGAUGAUGCAUUCGGUGAUUCUAGGCGCCGUUUAUCCUGUCUGCGUAUCGACUUUCGGACGAAGCAGGAACUAUUCGGGGUGACGGUCUCUUACGCAACGAUCUCCUUUGUUCUCUGACGAAAGGACAAAUUCCAUGACCGCAUGAGACGGAAUUCAAUGUGCGACGAGUAUGACGACGUAGGGAAGCGAACGGGGGGGGGGGCAGGGGGACCUUGAGCCAUCAAAGAAA
Molecule: long non-coding RNA, 5212 nt
Organism: Harpegnathos saltator (Jerdon's jumping ant)
Lineage: Eukaryota; Metazoa; Arthropoda; Insecta; Hymenoptera; Formicidae
Exons: 2
Source: RefSeq, a predicted model, not a curated record